Molecule: unclassified non-coding RNA, 2808 nt
Filed under: Hevea brasiliensis (rubber tree)
Lineage: Eukaryota; Viridiplantae; Streptophyta; Magnoliopsida; Malpighiales; Euphorbiaceae
Source: RNAcentral
GAAGAAGAAGAAGAAGAAAAGAAAGGGGGCAGUAAUUGUUUUUAACAAGAGCAAGAAAGGGUAUUUUGCGGUGUCUGUGAUUUUGGUGGGUUUUGGAAAAAAGAUGCAGCGAGAUCAUCCCAAGAAGGACUUAAAAGAUAUGGACUUUUUCACCGAGUACGGGGAUGCCAAUAGAUACAAAAUUCUGGAAGUUAUAGGAAAAGGAAGCUAUGGAGUUGUUUGUGCUGCAAUUGACACUCACACUGGAGAAAAAGUGGCAAUAAAAAAGAUCCAUGAUGUUUUUGAGCACAACUCUGAUGCUAUUAGGAUCUUGCGAGAAGUCAAGUUACUUAGGCUUUUACGACAUCCUGAUAUUGUAGAAAUUAAGCGCAUCAUGUUGCCAUCCUCAAAGAGGGAGUUUAAAGACAUAUUUGUUGUUUUUGAGCUCAUGGAGUCUGAUCUUCACCAAGUCAUCAAAGCUAAUGAUGAUUUGACACGUGAACACCAUCAGUUUUUUCUUUAUCAGAUGUUAAGAGCAUUGAAAUACAUGCAUACGGGUGAUGGUUUCUUCCUCCUUUUUUUUUCCCCUUUUCUGUAAUGGUUUUUUUAUUGCUCUCUUGCUUGUGUUGACACCCUUUACGAUGCUUUCAGUGCAUUUGUAUCUUAUGAGCAAAGACUAUUGCCAUAUUGUAUGAUUCCACCAUUUUUGUUUUAAUUUAAUUUUUUAAAUUUUGAUGAAUAUUUUGGCCAUCUCUGUUCUGAAUGUAAGUUUUGCUGUUGCAGCAAAUGUUUACCAUAGAGAUCUUAAACCCAAGAAUAUAUUGGCAAAUGCAAAUUGCAAGCUUAAAGUUUGUGACUUUGGACUCGCUAGAGUAGCAUUUAGUGAUACACCAACCACUGUUUUUUGGACGGACUAUGUUGCAACAAGAUGGUAUAGGGCUCCAGAGCUGUGUGGCUCUUUUUCUUCAAAGUAUACACCAGCAAUUGAUAUUUGGAGUAUUGGCUGCAUAUUUGCUGAGGUAUUGACAGGGAAGCCAUUGUUUCCGGGUAAAAGUGUUGUUCAUCAGCUGGAUUUGAUCACUGAUCUUCUUGGGACUCCUUCACCAGAAACUAUUUCCGGAGUUCGAAAUGAGAAGGCAAGGAAGUACUUGACAGAAAUGAGGAAAAAACAGCCUGUGCCAUUUACACUCAAAUUUCCAAAUGCAGAUCCUUUAGCACUUAAGCUGUUGCAAAGACUUUUAGCAUUUGAUCCAAAAGAUCGACCUACUGCUGAACAGGCAUUAGCUGAUCCUUACUUUAAAGGCUUAGCCAAAAUUGAGAGAGAACCUUCUUGUCAGCCAAUCUCAAAGUUGGAGUUUGAGUUUGAGAGACGAAGGGUGACAAAGGAGGAUAUCCGGGAAUUGCUGUACCGCGAAAUACUGGAGUAUCAUCCACAGCUGCUCAAAGACUACAUGAAUGGAAAUGAAGGCACUAACUUUCUCUAUCCUAGUGCAAUUGGUCAAUUUAGAAAGCAGUUUGCCUAUCUUGAGGAAAACAGUGGUCGAAGUGCACCAGUGAUUCCUCUAGAGAGGAAGCAUGUCUCUCUUCCACGGUCUACUGUACACACAAAUACAAUCCCUCCUAAUAUGCAAUCAAGUUCAACUGCAUUUGAUAACCGGCAAGUUGCAGAAGAUGCUUCAAAAAAUUGUAGAGCAACAGAUGCAAUUUCUGGAAAUGCAUUGAAGGUAUCUCGACCUCCACCCAGAGUACCAACAGGUAUAAGCAAAUUCAUUUUGCUUGCUUUUUGUAAUUUGACAGUAAAAGCCUCUUUGAUUGUUGUAGUCAGAAUUUUAACAUGGUUUUUGACAUUCAGAAGUUUUUAUGUUAGAGCCUACGUUAUUUGGAUUGUUCUAUGCGUAUAUUUGGAUCCCCUGAAAUUUCUGAUGUUUCAGAGCUUUCAAAGUAGAUUUCUGUUAUUAUUAUACCUUGAUAACAUGUGGCAAGGAUUGUUUCUAUGGUGUCAAUCCAUGAGUGGUAUGCCAUUUACCUGCCUACUGUAAGAAUUGAUAUUGUUUUGAGGCUCAGAAAAGAGAAUUUUGUGUCUAGUUUUUCUUAUUAAUUGUUUAACUAAAUGUCAUUGAAAGUAUAUUAUCCCAUCUUUGCCCUUGUUUGGGAUCCAACUUGCUUUCUUUUCUAUUCGAUUGACUGUUUUCUCCCCUUGCUUUCUUUUGGUGCACAGCAAAGCCAGGGAGAGUUGUUGGAUCAGUCGUACCAUAUGAAAAUAGCAGAAACAUCAAAGAUGCUUACGAUGCAAGGAUAUUUUAUAGAAAUGCAGUCCUCCCUCCACAGCAGACAGUGUCUCCUCACUGUUUCUUCAGGAACAACGCAAUGGCACAAGAAAAGUUGACUGUGUCUGAGAAGGAUACUUCGCUAGCAAAACAACCACUGCCCGAGUGUAACAUGGCAGCAAAACCAGGACCAGUCAUGGCGAUUGACAUGAAUACCAUCCCGUACUAUCAACCAAAAGCUAAGGUGGAACAAUUAAAUGAGCGAAUUGCUAUAGAUGCAAAACUGCUGCAGGCACAAUCACAAUUUGGUGCAGCUGCCGUAGCUGUAGCUGCUCAUAGGAAUGUGGGAACUGUUCAAUAUGGAUUGUCCUAGGUGUACUGGCCUGCGAAGAAUCUAAUCGAGAAUGUUGGGAAAUUGGAGAUCUAUGGGUCUCUUCCUUGAGAGAGGGUCUGUCUUUACAGUCCUAGUCCAGUCCCUGCAGUAUCUAUUUAAGUCCUCGUGUAAUUAGAAUCAGACGGCAUUGAUUUUAUUAAUGAAAAUAAAUUCCCUUUGUAUUAGAAG